CACUAGGAAGCUAAAUACGGAUAACAGCAUUGGCCUUUUAAGCCAAAGAUUGGUGCCUCCCAACCACCUCUAGUGA
The sequence is a transfer RNA, 76 nucleotides long. It matches the Rfam family "tRNA". From Rfam's summary of the family: Transfer RNA (tRNA) molecules are approximately 80 nucleotides in length. Their secondary structure includes four short double-helical elements and three loops (D, anti-codon, and T loops).